AAUCAACGCUGGCGGCGUGCCUCAGACAUGCAAGUCGAACGAUUAAAGCUCUCUUCGGAGAGUGUAUAGAGUGGCGCACGGGUGAGUAACACGUAAGUAAUCUACCUUUGAGUGGGGAAUAACAGUCGGAAACGGCUGCUAAUACCGCAUAAUGCAGCGGCAUCGCAAGAUGACAGUUGUUAAAGGAGCAAUCCGCUUAAAGAGGAGCUUGCGGCAGAUUAGCUUGUUGGUAAGGUAACGGCUUACCAAGGCUACGAUCUGUAUCCGGUCUAAGAGGACGGUCGGACACACUGACACUGAAUAACGGGUCAGACUCCUACGGGAGGCAGCAGUCGGGAAUUUUGGGCAAUGGGCGAAAGCCUGACCCAGCAACGCCGCGUGAAGGAUGAAGUAUUUCGGUAU
Molecule: ribosomal RNA, 402 nt
Filed under: uncultured bacterium
Lineage: Bacteria
Description: bacterial SSU rRNA
Rfam family: Bacterial small subunit ribosomal RNA
Source: RNAcentral